UACGUAGGGUCCGAGCGUUGUCCGGAAUUAUUGGGCGUAAAGGGCUCGUAGGCGGUCUGUUGCGUCGGGAGUGAAAACUUACAGCUUAACUGUGAGCGUGCUUUCGAUACGGGCAGACUUGAGGCAUUCAGGGGAGAACGGAAUUCCUGGUGUAGCGGUGAAAUGCGCAGAUAUCAGGAGGAACACCGGUGGCGAAGGCGGUUCUCUGGGAAUGUCCUGACGCUGAGACGCGAAAGCGUGGGGAGCGAACAGG
RNAcentral lists this ribosomal RNA (253 nucleotides) under uncultured bacterium. RNAcentral describes it as "partial 16S ribosomal RNA". It matches the Rfam family "Bacterial small subunit ribosomal RNA", at positions 524 to 776 of the family's 1533-position model. The record is from RNAcentral.